UGUAGAGGCAGACCAGGGGAACUGAAACAUCUAAGUACCCUGAGGAAGAGAAAACAAUAGUGAUUCCGUCAGUAGCGGCGAGCGAACGCGGAACAGCCUAAACCUAAGAGCUUGCUCUUAGGGGUUGUGGGACGUCUCACAUGGAGUUACAAAGGAAUAUGGUAGGUGAAGAGGUCUGGAAAGGCCCGCGAUAGAGGUAAAAGCCCUGUAACCUAAACUGUAUUCUCUCCGAGACGGAUCCCGAGUAGUGCGGGGCACGUGAAACCCCGUAUGAAUCCAGCAGGACCAUCUGCUAAGGCUAAAUACUACCUGGCGACCGAUAGUGAAACAGUACCGUGAGGGAAAGGUGAAAAGCACCCCGGAAGGGGAGUGAAAUAGAACCUGAAACCGUGUGCUUACAAAAAGUCAGAGCCCUAUUAAUGGGUGAUGGCGUGCCUUUUGUAGAAUGAACCGGCGAGUUACGUUUAACAUGCAAGGUUAAGCCGAGAAGGUGGAGCCGCAGCGAAAGCGAGUCUGAAUAGGGCGAUUUAGUAUGUGGACGUAGACCCGAAACCGUGUGAUCUACCCCUGUCCAGGGUGAAGGUGCGGUAACACGCACUGGAGGCCCGAACCCACGUACGUUGAAAAGUGCGGGGAUGAGGUGGGGGUAGCGGAGAAAUUCCAAUCGAACUCGGAGAUAGCUGGUUCUCCCCGAAAUAGCUUUAGGGCUAGCCUCGGUAUAAGAGUAGUGGAGGUAGAGCACUGAUUGGGUGCGGGGUCCGCAAGGAUUACCAAGCUCAGUCAAACUCCGAAUGCCAUAUACUUAUUGCCGGGAGUCAGACAGUGAGUGCUAAGAUCCAUUGUCAAAAGGGAAACAGCCCAGACCAUCAGCUAAGGUCCCCAAGUGUGUGUUAAGUGGGAAAGGAUGUGGAGUUGCACAGACAACCAGGAUGUUGGCUUAGAAGCAGCCACCAUUGAAAGAGUGCGUAAUAGCUCACUGGUCGAGUGACUCUGCGCCGAAAAUGUAACGGGGCUAAACACACCACCGAAGCUAUGGCUAGAU
This 1042-nucleotide ribosomal RNA is filed under the name Paenibacillus odorifer. RNAcentral describes it as "bacterial LSU rRNA". It matches the Rfam family "Bacterial large subunit ribosomal RNA", at positions 172 to 1211 of the family's 2925-position model. The record is from RNAcentral. Lineage: Bacteria; Bacillati; Bacillota; Bacilli; Caryophanales; Paenibacillaceae.